UCCGUCUCCACCGUUGGCCCUCCUCAUCCGGUGCAAAUAAUACAAAUAAGCCCCGGGGUCGACACCAAUUUUUUGGCAGCCCCUGGGUGCUUGGACGCAAUGCGCCAUGGGGGAUCCACCAUAAAAAAAAUAAUGCUAUAAAAAAUAGCGUUAUUACGUACAAAGUGAUCUUUUUGGAUAAAGAUGCCAAACGAGAGAAAGAAAAAAUAUUUACCAUGGAAGGUACGAUCCAAACAUAGAAUUAUUGCUACGAAACGAAUUAGAUUGACCGAACACAAGUUGCAAAAUCUAUAAUAUUCAAUAAUAAUACUAAUGGUAAUACAAGUCAAAGAAAUGGGAACAAUAUUAGUGAUAUUGACGAUGAGACAGAUAACUCUUUCAAGAGAUGUAUAAACUUUGAAACAGAAUAUAGCAAUUUGCUCGAUUUAAACCCUAAUUUUUGUUCAGAUUAUAGUCUUAGUUAUUCUGAUCAUUCUUCUAGUAGUAAUAAUAAUAUUGCUGUUCAACACAAUGAGUUUAUAGGUUGUGAAAGUAAUAACCAAAACGUUACAAAAAAUGUUGAGCAGUAUAAUGAACAAAGUGAUACAGGUGAAAUAUUAAACUUAAAUAAUAAACAAGAAAAAGAAAAUUAUUUAUUGCAUGGAUUAAGAGAAUGGUCUUUGCGUGGAGUGUCAAAGAAAAAAAUAAAUGAAUUAUUGGCUCUGUUAAUACCACUUUUCUCUUUUCUGCCAAAAAGUUACAAGACUCUAUUGCAUACUAUGAGGAAAGUUACUGUGAAUAGAUUAGAUAAUGGACUAUUUUGGUAUAAGGGAAUAAAAUUGAAUAUUCAACAAUUACUUUCUGAGGAAUAUGUCCAUAAAUAUGGUGAAAUAGUGAUAGAUGUGAAUAUGGAUGGUGUUCCUUUAAGUAAGAGUUCUGAAAUGCAUUUUUGGCCAAUCCUUGGUAAAUUUCGAAAUACAGAACACCCUUUCAUAAUUGCUGUUUAUGUGGGCUCUGGAAAGCCUAAUAAUGUUAAUACAUGGUUGGAACAGUUUGUUGCUGAAAUGGCAGAUCUACAAGAAACUGGAUUUCAGUGGAACAUAAUACUAUAUAAUUAUCAAUUUAGAAUUGAUAAUUUUGUGUUAGAUACUGAAGCCCGCUCGUUUGUAAAACAAUAUAUUGCGCAUGGUGGUUAUUAUGCAUGUGAAAAAUGUAUUGUGAAAGGGACAUAUUGUAGAAAUAGAAUGUGUUUUUUUAAACAAAAUUGUCCGCUUCGCACUGAUGAGUCAUUCCGUAAUAAAUCCUCGUCAUUAUAUCGGUAAUUCAAUAUUAGAAGAUAUUGGAAUUGACAUGAUUUCUCAAUUUCGUCUUGAUGCGCUUUAUCUUGUAUAUCUGGGUGUUGUGAAAAGAAUGCUCCACUUCUUAUCAGUGUCCGUUCUCGAUGUACAUUGCCAAAUGCAGUUGUACUUGAGAUCAAUAAUGUAUUGCAUAAUAUCACUGGUUUUUUCCCUAUAGAAUUUCAUCGUAAACCAAGAAGCUUAGGUACUCGUAAUAUAAGAGAAAAGUGGAAAGGUACCGAAUAUAGAAGAUUCGUAUUAUAUGAUUGUAUUUAUGUUUUAAAGAACCAUGUACCUAAUAAUAUCUACCAGUGCUUCCUUCUUGUCCAUUGUACGAUUUAUAUCUUAUGUAGAUAUGAUCUGUUUAAAAAAAUGAACGUUGCUAAUUACUUGUUGAGAGAAUUUGUAACUCAGUCAGUCCAUUCAUUUGGGCGUGAAUUUGUGGUGUAUAAUGUUCACUCACUAAUUCAUCUAACUGAAGAAUGUAACAACAGAGGUACAUUGGAUUCCUUUAGUGCAUUCCCUUAUGAAAAUUUUUUGGAUAUUAUGAAAAGUCACUUGCGUUCCAUUCAUCGACCAUUGCAACAAUUGGCUAAUAGAGAUAUGGAAUUGCAAGGUGCAUUUAUAAAGCCAUGCCCUCAUAAAGAUACAAACUUUAUAAAACUGAAAAAACCAGUUCAUAGUUAUCAUUUGGACAUUGAGGGUCAACAAUAUACAGUUGUCACCAAAGAUUUCACAUUACAAGCAAAAGAAGGAGAUCGUUAUUUCAAAUUAGUUAAUGGUGAAAUUGCACGUUUGUGCUGUGUAAUAAAUUCCCAUGGAAAUAUCAUUCUUGCAGGAACAAAAUUUACAUGUCUUGAAAAUUAUUAUACUUUUCCUAUCGAGUUUUCAGAGUUAGGUAUUUUUAAAAUGUCUAAACCUGAAAAAGAAUUGCAUUUUUGGAGAAUUGAACAAGUUAAAGAGAAAUAUGUUGUAAUGCCUAUUAGUAAUGGUACUUUUCUCUGUGUUCCACUUAUCCAGUUUUUUCAUUAGAUACGUUGUAAAAUUUUCUGCCACGGAUGCAACCAAAAUGGAGACUGUAGCCGUAGCUCCAUCUUUAUGGAUCAAUUAUGAUCUUAAUACAUGUAAAUGGCCACCAAAAAAGUAUGAUUCUAAUAAAGUUACUAGAUGAAUCAUAAGAGUUUAAUGGAACCAAAGGAUGAUUUUGAAGAUAUUUCAGUACAAGUUAUGUAUGAAUAUGACAUAUGCCAAAGCACGCAAAGCAAAUAUAAAAGCUGAACACGACAGUGCUAUCGAUACAGCUGCUGGAGAAAGUGAUAUAGAUAAGCCUAGGAAAAAACAGAAAUCUGCAAGAUAUGAAGUGACAGAUAGCUCAGAGCUUGAUAAACCACUUGCCAUCAAAAGUUGAUAGCAAGCUCUGCUCGAAAUCUGCUCGCGCAGGUUUGGCUACCUGGGAAUAUCAAAUAUAGAAAUCCAGAUUAAAAAAGCAUGAAAUUGCUUCCCUUCGCAACUGUACUACAUCAUAUAAUAUAUCACAGUCUUCACUUUCUAUGGACCAACAUUCUGAUUUUGAAACUUCUUUACCAUUUAUAAUGAAAAAUGUCUGUAUGCAAUCAGAUCCACACGUGGCUGCUGUUCUUAAAACUUUAGUAUCCAGGCAAGAAGAUUUAAAUAGUAAAAUAGAUCACGUUAUUUUGAUGAUUUACAAAGUAUAUCGUAAAUUAGCACCAGAAGAGGAAAAAGUGAGUCAUCCGAAAAAUCCCCCUGUACUUUCUUUAAAUAAGAUUCCUUUUUACAAAUUCAAAAAUUUCUAAUGUCUGAAGAUAACUUUUACCCAACAGUAAAUAUUUCUAUCACUCCUUCAAUUAUAUCAUAUAUUUUCCUGUGUAGCAUAAUUUAAAUUGCUAUUGCCUUGUUAUUAAAUAUGAUAUAAAGAGAUUUAAUCAGAUACAUAUGCCAACGUACAUCGAAUCGUUUUAUUCUAUAUUAAGACCAAAUUACACUAAUCUAAAUAUAAGGUAACAGUUAAAACUGUAAACAAUAUAAUAUCCAAAAUCAGGACAUAAGAUUUUUUAACAUCAUAUGUCCUCGCUUUGGACAUUAUACUGUGUAGGAUCAGAUAUUUAUUUUUGUUUUUUCCUCAAAAUAAAGUAAGAUAGACAUGUUUCAA
Long non-coding RNA from Odontomachus brunneus, 3486 nucleotides. RefSeq lists it as uncharacterized. The transcript has 6 exons. NCBI's taxonomy places the organism in Eukaryota, Metazoa, Arthropoda, Insecta, Hymenoptera, Formicidae. The record is from RefSeq and is a predicted model, not a curated record.